UUUUCUAUUAAAAAUUAUUACUGUAAAUACCUCGCAGUGGGCAAACUCUUUGAUUUCUUAAUGUUCUUACAAGUGCACUCUUAGAAAAGUCCUACCUUGGUACUAAGUAUUGAUUUCAAAGCUCCAGUUGCAAGAACAUGGAUCCAAAAUGUGCCAAAAGUGCCAUAUUUUCUGGAGAUAAUGGAGAAGGUUCUUCGACUAAAUUAUUCUUUUGCUGCUCUGUCAUUACUUGUGAGAAGCAUUUAGGGCACAGAGAGAGAGCAGUAUUGAUAGCAAUGACACAGAAUGAUAACUUAUGGGUUCUUUAGGCUCCACCACACCACUAAAUCGUGUCUCUCAGAGCAACAUUAAGCUUUUCUUGAACACCUGCAGGGAUGGUGACUCCAUCACCUUCCUGGGCAGCCUGAUCCAAUGCUUCACUAUCAUUUCUGAGAAGAAAUGUUUCCCAGUAUCCAACCUGAACCUCCGCUGACUCAGCUUAAAGCCAUUACUUCUUGUUCUGACUCUAAUUACCUGGGAGAAGAGGCCAAUCCCCGCAGUUGUGUUUGUCCUUGGUCUAUUAGUCUGACUUCGAUCCAUGAGUCUGAAAGAAUAAUUAAAAACAUGAAGGAACUUCCCAGAAAAGUGCAAAGAAGAUUGCUGCUAUCUGGAGAAUGCCGAGGGUUAUUAUUUGUUUAAUUAUUUGUGGAGAAUGUCUCUCCAGAAAGUUUUAAGACUUCCAACAAAUAAUACCAAUACGCAGCUCAAAUAAACAAAGCAUACUCUUUCCUGAAAGGAACUGCAAGUGCACC
Molecule: long non-coding RNA, 791 nt
Organism: Gallus gallus (chicken)
Lineage: Eukaryota; Metazoa; Chordata; Aves; Galliformes; Phasianidae
Source: Ensembl